This is a long non-coding RNA of Uranotaenia lowii, 2065 nucleotides long. RefSeq lists it as uncharacterized. Lineage: Eukaryota; Metazoa; Arthropoda; Insecta; Diptera; Culicidae. The transcript has 2 exons. The record is from RefSeq and is a predicted model, not a curated record.
UUUUCGGGCAUGAAAUAUUGGAAGCGGGAGAUGAACAUCGUCAGCAAGUUGACAUCCAUCUACGACCUGUAAAAGAAAGAACCGAAUUGAAAACGACAGUUAAUAAGAAAAUUCGUGAAUUAGUAGAGACUAAUCUAAAGAAGGCCUAUGACAAAAGCGCCAGAGCCUAUAAUCUCCGAUUUCGUAAACCUGCUCCCGAGUACCAAGUAGGCGAAAAGGUAUUCAAAAGGAAUUUUGCACUUUCAGAUGCUUCAGCAAGCCACAAUGCUAAAUUUGGUCCAAUGUACACCCCCUGCACUAUUAUUUCACGUCGCGGAACAAGUUCUUACGAGCUAGCCGAUGAAAAGGGAAGGAUUCUGGGAAUAUUCUCAUCGGCAGAUCUUAAGCCCGGUAUUCCGCAGUAGAGCGUAGAUAGACACGACAAUGCAAAAAGAAAAGCAAAUCAAAAAAAAUAUCACAUCUUACCGCAGCAAUCCCAAAACACAACCGCGUCUGUUUCAAUAGUCGCAUGAAAUGGACGAGUAAAACCGAUGCAUUGUUUUCAAUAGCUAAAAUGAGUGACGUUGAGUUCGAUGAGGCUUGAGUGUUGAGAAGUUUUCAAGAAGGUUUAAUUAUUUUUGUCUCUGUUUAUCAUCAACAUAAUUUUUAUAGCAUCUCUCUCAAUAGAUUCAAUAGUUUAAAUCGUCAGCAAAGCUCAAAUGGAAAUGGAAAGCGAAAGAGGAAUAGAAAUGAUCCAUGAAAUAAAAACUAGCAAUGACAAAUUCCAAAUCGCGGCGCGUAGGUGAUGACGUCUCACUUACCCUAUUUUCGGAUGAGUUCAUCUUUAGAUUACAUUACGAUUCCAAACUACAACACCAUAAACCUUUCUCUAGAAUUCAUCUCAUUUAACAUUCAUGAAACAGCAUUAUCGAUUAACACUCGGCAUGUCAGUAGUAAGAGUUUUCUUUCUUUCCGUAAGUCUUUUGAUUUGACUGGGUUAUUGGGAAAGAGGAAGAUCCAACAACUUUUACGCGUGGAUAAAUAAUCUCUCAUGCGUAUGAGAGUUCAUAUUUGCUAAUUUCGCGCAAGCAAGAUAUUGGUUGUUGAGCGCAUAGGGAUGCACAUAGAGUUCAAGUCUAUUCUGAGCGGAGAUUAAUUAGACGGAACUUAAGUUAAAAAAAUAUGAUUAUAUAUUCAUAUAAUAUAUUUUUUUAGGGGGAGUAUGGGGUAGUGUUACCGUUGCGAAAUUCAACUCGGUAAAGUUCUUCCAAAGUAAAUAGUUACUUGUUUAUUUUCUUAAAUUAUUUGUUUAUUGUUAAAUGUUAUUUAAUUAUUUCACUUAUUAUUUCAUCAGAGCAAGAUAGGUUUAGUUAAUAUAAAAUACAGGACUCACAAGAACACAACAUGUUAACACAGGUACACUGAAACAAAUACACAAAUUGCUGUACUAGAACGGGUAUAAAAGGAACGCACAAAUUAAAAAGGUAUUAGUCCAGAAGUUAAAAAAAAGUGGUAUAAUUGGCCCGAUGAGAGGAAAGCUACCAAAACUAACACUAAAAAAGAUCUCUUUCCGCUUUGACCGCCAAGACAGCUAGGUUGCGUAUCGAGAGGACUUAACCUUACAAUAUAACGGUUGAACUAUUAAAAGUUUAAUAUAAAAGUUCAUUAAAGUCCGACAGCGGAAAAAUACCAGUGCGCAAUUGAGAAGAGCGAAUCAGGACCCAAAACUUAGGAGCAUAUGCUUUAUGCCCUCCGGGACCAACAAGUAUCAGGAAGGUUCCAAUCUGGUACCGCGUUUCUGCAAUUUGGACCAUUUUGGCAGACAACCACCUCCCGUGAUACAGUAUCGAAUCCCGAAGGGAAUCCACCAUUUGGAAGGCUGAACGGAAUCCCAUAUCCGUUCCGGCCUGAGGAGCUGGCAAGGAAUUGGCAAAGUUACCGCCAAUUCUUGUCAACUGCCUAGCCACACCCCAAAUACCCGUAGCGUACCGAAGGAGUAACGUCAGCAGCAGCGAAGGCCGGCCCAACGAGACACACGCCACACACAACACACAAGGUAAUCAAAUAAAAACCGUAAAAAGCUAAA